CUCCAGUAUUCUUGCCUGGAGAAUCCCAUGGACAAAGGAUCCUUGUAGACUACAGUCCAUAGGGUCGCACAGAAUUGGACAUAACUGAAGUGACUUAACACGCACACACACAGGCAGAGCCAGAGGAGUUGCACUGUGAGGGCAGCCAGUAGUAAGUCCCUCCUCUCUCACUGUAGUUUCAAGAAUCUCCAGGGAGAAUCGGCCUUUGCAAUUGGGGCCAUAAAUGGCCAAAAAUGGCCUCGGAAUAUUGGGGCCAUAGAAGUCUCCUUGUUGGUAUAUAAAGUUCAGGGAGCCAUCUUGGUUCCUCUGACACUAGUAUAUCAUGAAAUUAUUAAUUUCCCUGCCCCUGUCAUUUGGCACUGCAAAAUAUCGCUCUUUCUAAAAGGAACAAACAUCUCUUCUUGCUCCAACAAGACAUCUGACUUGAUUCCCGAAAAACAAAGUCAAAGGAAAAGAAGAGAGAGAGGAGCCCCAUCAGAGUGUCAAGGGGCUGUAGUAUCAGAGUGGCAUUACGGAGCCACCUUCCAGUUUCGUCUUCUCAUCGUCUCUCCCGGGAGUCAUUUCAUCAGGGAGGCUCACAGCAGAGCACAGUCAUCCAAGGGGACCUGCCAUAAAGAGUGAAAAUGUGUGCAGUGCCCUGAAGUGGCCACGUGGUCUUGGAGGGGGUGAAUUACCUUCUGCUCUCCUGAAACUGCUGAUUUCACAGUGAAGAUUGCUGCCACAGUGACAGCUGUGGGUAGAAUGUAAAUCUAUUGCUGUCUCCGGCACUCCUCUUUCUUUUCCCCUGCCUGCUGGAAUCACCGUGGGGGUCUGGUGGUCCUCAGGUGGAACAUGGAGAGGCCAGAACAGAGCUGUUCAUGCUGAUAAGAGGCUAAUCCUAUGCCUUUGUCGAAAGAAGUCUAUUUAUAAAAUAGCAAACCCCAAACAAUAGUAAUUUUGUACUUCCAUCCAACAAUAUCCAAUAGAGAGGAAAAAGCUGGAAAAACCUGGAUUGGGCCCAGAGGUUAUUUGUUUUGCAGGCUUGGAAUAGAAGCCUGUAAAGCCUCCCCCUCUGUAAUAUUUCUCUGUACAUAAGAAAAAACACCCUGACUCUCCUCCCCUAAAGGGGAGAAAAAUAUUUUUCUCAAGGUUCUUAUUUGGCAGUAGAACUGGGGAACAGGUCAGAGAGAGGGAGAAGAUAAAUUUUUUUUUUCUCCUUUGGAGAUGGGAGUUUAUGAGACUGUAGAAUGUCUGUGUUUCCAUGCCUUUAAGGAGCUCCAGUUCUGUAACUUGGGCACCAUGUAAAAUUAAGCUAUUAUACAUCUUACAUCCUCUAACCUGCCAAGGUGCCCAAGGCAGAGGGCAGUGACAGUAUUGGGCUCUCCCAGAACCCCAGGGAAAUCCCCUGCCUUACCUUCCACAGGGAAGCAAACCAAGCCCUUUAUCCUCCAAUCAAAGGGAGAGGAAAUAGCUGAGGCCUCCCCUGAGGGUGAACUCUUCCCACUCUACCUCAAGCAAGAGACACUGAGAUGCCCCUUUUCUCUGGUUGGGACUGUGCUGCCAGAGGAGGCGAAAUGCCAAGAUGGAGAGGCCUCACUUUCUCUUCCUUGGGAGAAGGAUGUGGUGGCCCAGCUGCCAGGACAGGUGUGGCUCCCACAGCCGCCAGCAAACACUUGGGUCAUCCAUACUUUUUCUGAUUGGCCUUCUAGCCCAAACACAGCUCCAGGGUAUCUCUUACUUCUUGGGCUCUGAACUAACACAUUUUUUUACUUAGUUUUAUCACAGGUUGGAUGGGAAAAAGGAAUGAGACUGAAAGAAUGCUAAAACAUGCGGUCAGUUCUAAAGAUACAGAGCUGAGGAAAAAAAUGGAAGGAAAACAUGGACACACUCUAGGGUGCUUUGGGGAGGGCAGCUGGGUAGAUUAAAAAAAAAGUGGCCAGGAGGUAGCUCUGGGGGCUGGAAAAAGAGACUCUGAAACCAGUGAAGUGGGAAAGUCAGUAUGUGAGUGGAUGUUGGUCUGACAGCAGCUUGGGUUACCAUAACCCUUGUCAUGUCCCAGGAACAGCAUCCAUGCAUUUGCUGCUGCCCCCUUGCCAUAUCCUCUGUAACUCUGACAUUCUCCUUGGUUAUGUGGGGUUUGUGACGAGUCUCUGGUAGAAAGUGGGCAUGGGUAUAGGGCCAAGGACUGGGGUAAACACAAUGUUAUCCAUAUAUCAUAUUCACCAUGGCUGGAGACACAAUAGUUACAAGUGGUUGUUUUAUGAUGACCACAGUGUCGCUGUGUUCAAGUCUAGUUUAGAAUGCAGGUGCUGUUAUAUUAAUCAUGGAAGUGACAAGUUAAAGGGCUGUUAACACUGAGCUGCAUAAUGAACACUUGGUAUGAGUGAAUGAAGAGAAUGCUGAGUAGAAAUACAAGCUACCCAAGUUGGCAGGGCUUUAAUUGCCGAGGAGUCUGAGAGUUUGCACACGUGCGUGACUGAGAAGUGACUGUGAACUGGGACGUUACCAAAGAGAGUGAAGGAAGAAGCAUGGGCAGUGAAACAGUCCCGCGCGAGGAAGAACCUCAGCAUCCAUCAAAUGGAAGCAACACUUGAGUGAAAUCACGGUCUGUGACAGAGCACACAACAUCAAUCUAAACUGACCUCAGUGUCCAGGCUGCAGUGAGAAAUCGGGGAUGCAGGAAAAUAAAAGAUGCAGAGGGAAGGGCACAUGCCAAGAAGAUGGGCUGAAGAGCCCAGGGAAAGGGGAUUUUUUGCAAGACUCAACUGACAGACAAUCAUCUAUCUCUGUCAGAGGACCUUAUUUUCAGACAUGCCAGCUCAAGUUCCAGAUUGGUGACCCAGAGACUGCGGUGUGCUAGGAGAACUGUUGCUUCCACUCACAAUCUGCCGCGUUUGUGUUGACUUACAACGUGGCUGGGGACUCAACUGGACUGCAUACUAAAUGCCUGGUAGAAUUCCUAAAACCGCUGUUGGCCCAGAGAACCCUUUGUUAAUAAAUAUUACAGCACAAUCUGUGUUUAUUAAGGGAAGUGUGAUAGGGAAAGGAAACUAGCAGGAAAAGAAAAUAGAGUUUAAAAUGCCACGGUAGUUGCAAAAUAUUUAUUUUUAUGGAAGAGAGGUAAUCCAGAUGAUUUUCCUCUCAUUUUGAAAGACUAAACCCUAAGCUUCAAGCAUGUGGAGGCCAAGGACAGAUUUUUUUCAGGGCAACCACAAUUAGUUAAAGCAGCUUCUGUGUACACACACCAAGGGGCUAUGGGGUCAUGUCUACAUUAUAACCAGGGCCUCUCUGUAUGGUCAUCAUGACCCCCAACACACUUUAGCAGAUCAUCAAGUACAAACAGGCUCUUGGAUUUUCUCUAGACAAUCCUUAGCUUCCAUCAGUCCUCUUUUCUUCUAAAUGUAUGUGAGACGAGCUGAUUUUGAUGGGUAGAAGAGGCCUUGGGAAGAGCUCGGAAAAGAACAGGAUCAAAAUUCAGAUGAAGGAACAGAGGUACAGUUGCCACAAGCUAUUAUAGCAGCUGUUGAAGCAUCUUCCUGGAAUCCAGGAGGUCUUCCUCUUUUGUCCUCCUCUUUGGUUCUGAAUCUAAAUCAAGGAAUCAGCACUAUGUGGUUGAACCCUUGCUCUAGUUGGGUGGGACAGUUUUAGGCCAACCUUUGUCAUUUGCUUUUAUCUUUUCUUUUCAAAGGAAGGAGCAGAUACAAAUGGGCCUGACACACCAGCCUUGCCAGAUGGGCUGUGGCAGGAGGGCAAGGCCCCUGUUUAGCUCAAACAUGUACUCAAACACGUCUGGCGUGGCAUUUGGCACAGAAAGGACUCAAGAUAUAUUUCAUGCAUAAAGGAAGAAUUAAAGCCGGCCCAAGGGAAGUAAGUACCAUGCUAUGAUGGAACCUGUGGAGGAGUCUACCUGAGGACUCAAGUUCUGCCAACAUCCACAUGAAUGAACCUGAAAGUGGAUUCUCUUCCAGCUGAUGCUUGAGAUGACCGCAGCCUGAUGAGAGACCCUGGAGGACCCAGCUAAGACACACCUGGAUUCUUGACCCAUAUAAACUGUGAGAUAAUAAAUGCUUUGAACCUUUCCAAGUGUUGUGGUAAUUCAUUAUAUAAAGGUAGAUACCCAGUGCACUCGCCUUGAAAUAGCCUUCUUCCUCCUUCCCACUUAUCCAAGUCCCAACUCGUUCAAACCUUAGCUGUCCUAGGAAACUUUUCUCAUACCGAUUGUCCUUUCAUGAACUCCUGGAACACUGCAUGUGAAGUCGCAGCACUCACUGUUAGAUUGUACUUGCUAGUAUUUUUUUAAUCAUUUAUUCAUCUCUCUAGUUUUAAUUUCUAAUGAUGUC
Molecule: long non-coding RNA, 4319 nt
Organism: Cervus elaphus (red deer)
Lineage: Eukaryota; Metazoa; Chordata; Mammalia; Artiodactyla; Cervidae
Exons: 4
Source: RefSeq, a predicted model, not a curated record